This 501-nucleotide small RNA is filed under the name uncultured Glomus. RNAcentral describes it as "SSU rRNA". It matches the Rfam family "Eukaryotic small subunit ribosomal RNA", at positions 569 to 1074 of the family's 1831-position model. Lineage: Eukaryota; Fungi; Glomeromycota; Glomeromycetes; Glomerales; Glomeraceae. The record is from RNAcentral.
AGCAGCCGCGGUAAUUCCAGCUCCAAUAGCGUAUAUUAAAGUUGUUGCAGUUAAAAAGCUCGUAGUUGAAUUUCGGGGUCAGUAGAUUGGUCAUGCCACUGGUAUGUACUGGUCUCACUGAUUCCUCCUUCCUGAUGAGCCGUAAUGCCAUUAAUUUGGUGUUGCGAGGAAUCUGGACUGCUACUUUGAAAAAUUAGAGUGUUUAAAGCAGGCUAACGCUUGAAUACAUUAGCAUGGAAUAAUGAAAUAGGACGUUCGAUCCUAUUUUGUUGGUUUCUAAGAUUGACGUAAUGAUUAAUAGGGAUAGUUGGGGGCAUUAGUAUUCAAUUGUCAGAGGUGAAAUUCUUGGAUUUAUUGAAGACUAACUACUGCGAAAGCAUUUGCCAAGGAUGUUUUCAUUAAUCAAGAACGAAAGUUAGGGGAUCGAAGACGAUCAGAUACCGUCGUAGUCUUAACCAUAAACUAUGCCGACUAGGGAUCGGAUGAUGUUAAUUUUUUUAA